GUGAUAUGCUCGACAGAUCAAAUAAGAAAUACCCGGGAGUCUAUGUUACUCAUUCUUUACAAAAAUAUAAAAUAAUGAACAAAACAAUUUGACACAAAAUCACAAGUUUUUGAGAAUUUUUCUAAAACAAUUUACAUGAAUGACAUUGCACAUUUGUAAAUUAACAUUUAAAAAGAAUGAAUUUACAAGUUUCAGACACAACUCUGCCUGGAAAAACAACAUUAAAAUUGAACAUUUAA
RNAcentral lists this long non-coding RNA (239 nucleotides) under Mytilus galloprovincialis (Mediterranean mussel). The record is from RNAcentral. Lineage: Eukaryota; Metazoa; Mollusca; Bivalvia; Mytilida; Mytilidae.